RNAcentral lists this unclassified non-coding RNA (391 nucleotides) under soil metagenome. Its description in RNAcentral is "partial contains 5.8S ribosomal RNA, internal transcribed spacer 2, and large subunit ribosomal RNA". The stretch from base 1 to 122 matches the Rfam family "5.8S ribosomal RNA", at positions 35 to 154 of the family's 154-position model. The record is from RNAcentral.
GAUGAAGAACGCAGCGAAAUGCGAUACUUGGUGUGAAUUGCAGAAUCCCGUGAACCAUCGAGUCUUUGAACGCAAGUUGCGCCCGAAGCCACUAGGCCGAGGGCACGCCUGCCUGGGCGUCACACGUCGUUGCCCCCCCAUCUACUCCUUCGGGAUUGCGGGGGGGCGGAUGAUGGCCUCCCGUGCGCCUAGCCGCGCGGUUGGCAUAAAUACCAAGUCCUCGGCGACGCACGCCACGACAAUCGGUGGUUGCGAAACCUCGGUUGCCCGUCGUGUGCGUUCGUCGCGCAUCGAGGGCUCGAAAAAAUGCUCGGCUCCGGCUGGGCUUUCAACGCGACCCCAGGUCAGGCGGGGUUACCCGCUGAAUUUAAGCAUAUCAAUAAGCGGAGGA